Molecule: small nuclear RNA, 94 nt
Organism: Oncorhynchus tshawytscha (Chinook salmon)
Lineage: Eukaryota; Metazoa; Chordata; Actinopteri; Salmoniformes; Salmonidae
Gene: U2
Rfam family: U2 spliceosomal RNA
About the family: U2 is a small nuclear RNA (snRNA) component of the spliceosome (involved in pre-mRNA splicing). Complementary binding between U2 snRNA (in an area lying towards the 5' end but 3' to hairpin I) and the branchpoint sequence (BPS) of the intron results the bulging out of an unpaired adenosine, on the BPS, which initiates a nucleophilic attack at the intronic 5' splice site, thus starting the first of two transesterification reactions that mediate splicing.
Source: Ensembl
AUCGCUUCUCGGCCUUUUGGCUAAGAUCAAGUGUAGUAUCUGAGACAGAAACAUGAGGCUUGUAGUCCUAAAUUUAGAUUUUGAAAAAGCCUUU